CAACUACUUAAUAUAUAAAUUACAUUCAACGGCACCGAUCAUCGAUUUAGAGGUUCUAUCAUAAAAAAUAAAUGGAUGAUAACGGUACUCAUUUGCUACUAAUAAUAUUACAGCUCAACUCUCUCUUUCUAUAUAUAUAUAUAUAUGUAGAGAGAGAAAAAGAAUUGGGCUGGAAUACUAUUGAUAGUAUGUGCUCUCUUUUACUAUCAAAUUUUUAACUUUUGGAUGAAAAAUUGUAGGGUUAGAAUGAUAUUAGUCCCUUAAGGUUGAGUGGUCCUCACUGGAUUAUAAUAUUUAAUCCAAUAAUUAGAAAUGAUCAAAGAAAUUGAUCCAAGGGUUAAAAAUUUAAUAGCAAAGGAGAUAAAUACUAUUAAUAGUAUUCUAGCUCAACUCUAUAAUUCUAAUCCUAUAAUUUUUUAUUCAAGAGUUAAAAAUUCGAUAGCAAAAGAAUCCCAAUACUAUUAAUAGUAUUUCACCCUAAUUAUAGACUUGUAUGUUAUUAGGAGCACGGAAGCCUCCGUGCUCCUAAGUAAUUUUCAGUGAUGAAACUUUUGAAUCGAUGAUCGGCUCUAUUAGAUUUGAUCUAGUGUAUUUGAUUAAUUAUUAGAAAAUAAAUUUUACAGAUUUUCGUUAUCAUUUACCUAGUGAUUGAAGGAUUUAAAAUCAAUAAUUUUUAAUGGUUGAUGUGUACCAUUUGUAAGUUUAACGGUGUAGAAGUAUUCAAAUUAGAUGAAAUUUUGAUAUAAAAUUUUUUAUACUAUCUAUAGCAAGAUCAAUAUCUCUGAUUGAAAAUUUUCGUAUUAUAUCAUAUCUUUUUGUGAGAUUUUUAAUUUUAACCGUUAAUUUUGAGUCCAUUCAAUCAUUAGGUACAUAAUAUCAAAAAAUCACAAAAUGUAUUUUCUAUAUACUUCAAAGAUACUAGAUCAAGUCUAACAGAGCCGAUCGUUGAUUCGUAAGCUCCAUCAUCGAAAACAACUUUAGAGCACGAAGCCUUUGUGCUCUUAAUAACACACAAGUCCUCUCUCUCUCUCUCUCUCUCUCUCUCUAUAUAUAUAUAUAUAUAUGUAUAGAGUCCGGCUACUAUACUCUAAUGAGUACGCUGGUACUCAUAAGUUAUUUUCGAUGAUAGAGCUUCCGAAUCGACGAUCUACACCGUUAAACAUUAUUUAGAGUAUUUAAAACAUCUAGAAAUCAAAUUUUAUAAUUUUUCGACAUCAUUUACCUGACAAUCAAAAGCUCACAAAAUUGACAAUUUUUAACGGCCGGUAUGAGAUAUUUGCUAGUUUAACGGUGAAAAAGAAUCGGAAUAGGUUGAAUUUUUGAUAGAAAAUUUUAUUCACUACCUAAAUAAAGAUCAAU
RNAcentral lists this long non-coding RNA (1359 nucleotides) under Ananas comosus (pineapple). RNAcentral describes it as "long non-coding RNA (ACOM_LNC025481)". The record is from RNAcentral. Lineage: Eukaryota; Viridiplantae; Streptophyta; Magnoliopsida; Poales; Bromeliaceae.